UCUGCAGCUUCAGCCUUCAGCCCUCUUCUUCCUGCCGAGGCGAGGGGGCUGCUGGGAGGUUUUGGUCCUGCAGACUCGAGAGUCGCUGGGAGGAGAGGAGAGUAUGUCGGCCCCAGGUCCCGGGCUCUGCUCCUGCGCUCUGGCCUCGGGUUUCUCUGGGCGUAGGAGAGGAGGGCAGGGAUCCUGUGAAUAAAAUGGCGCAGACGUGCUUGUGCAGCUUUCCUGCUGGAGUCCAUGAGCGUCUCGAGGAUUUGGGCAUGCGUGUUCAUGUCAUGUCACAAUCUGUUCAGAGUACUGUCAUCAGCAACAAAGCAUGGCUCGGCAUGCGGGCAAAACUGCACCAACCACCAUGCAUGGACACAGCACCCAUCUAGCCCUGACCUGGUGGUUUGUUUGCAUCUCCUUGCUCUACCCUACUCAAGGAGGAUGG
RNAcentral lists this long non-coding RNA (430 nucleotides) under Pan paniscus (pygmy chimpanzee). RNAcentral's name for it is "lncRNA (ENSPPAG00000044854.1)". The record is from RNAcentral. Lineage: Eukaryota; Metazoa; Chordata; Mammalia; Primates; Hominidae.